Molecule: ribosomal RNA, 555 nt
Filed under: uncultured Archaeorhizomycetes
Lineage: Eukaryota; Fungi; Ascomycota; Archaeorhizomycetes
Description: eukaryotic LSU rRNA
Rfam family: Eukaryotic large subunit ribosomal RNA
Source: RNAcentral
CCCGGGCCCAAUUUCCUUGGAACAGGAGGUCAUGGAGGGUGAGGACCCCGUGUGUGGCUUGGUCGCCGUGGUCCUUGUGGCGUGCCCUCGAAGAGUCGGGUUGUUUGGGAAUGCAGCUCAAAAUGGGUGGUAAAUUUCAUCUAAAGCUAAAUAUUGGCGAGAGACCGAUAGCGAACAAGUAGAGUGAUCGAAAGAUGAAAAGCACUUUGAAAAGAGAGUGAAACAGUACGUGAAAUUGUUGAAAGGGAAGCGUUUGGCAUCAGCCCAUGGCGGCGGUCGAACAUCGGGGCUUCUGUCCCGUGCACUCGACCGCCGUCGGGCCAGCGUCGGCUUUGCCCGCCGGAUAAAGGCCUUGGGGAAGUGGCUCCACCAGGAGCGUUAUAACCCUUGGCGGCAUGCGGCUGGGCGGGGCCGAGGUCUGCGGUCUCAACCUAGGACGCUGGCGUAAUGGUUCCAAGCGACCCGUCUUGAAACACGGACCAAGGAGUCUAACAUCUAUGCGAGUGUUUGGGUGUCAAGCCCGACCGCGCAAUGAAAGUGAAUGCAGGCGGGAGC